RNAcentral lists this ribosomal RNA (553 nucleotides) under uncultured bacterium. RNAcentral describes it as "bacterial SSU rRNA". It matches the Rfam family "Bacterial small subunit ribosomal RNA", at positions 68 to 615 of the family's 1533-position model. The record is from RNAcentral.
GGCAGCACAGGUAGCAAUACCGGGUGGCGACCGACGCACGGGUGAGUAACGCGUAUGCAACUUGCCUAUCAGAGGGGGAUAACCCGGCGAAAGUCGGACUAAUACCGCAUGAAGCAGGGGCCCCGCAUGGGGAUAUUUGCUAAAGAUUCAUCGCUGAUAGAUAGGCAUGCGUUCCAUUAGGCAGUUGGCGGGGUAACGGCCCACCAAACCGACGAUGGAUAGGGGUUCUGAGAGGAAGGUCCCCCACAUUGGUACUGAGACACGGACCAAACUCCUACGGGAGGCAGCAGUGAGGAAUAUUGGUCAAUGGCCGAGAGGCUGAACCAGCCAAGUCGCGUGAGGGAUGAAGGUUCUAUGGAUCGUAAACCUCUUUUAUAAGGGAAUAAAGUUCGGGACGUGUCCCGUUUUGUAUGUACCUUAUGAAUAAGGAUCGGCUAACUCCGUGCCAGCAGCCGCGGUAAUACGGAGGAUCCGAGCGUUAUCCGGAUUUAUUGGGUUUAAAGGGUGCGUAGGCGGCCCCUUAAGUCAGCGGUGAAAGUCUGUGGCUCAACCA